GACGAACGCUGGCGGCGUGCUUAACACAUGCAAGUCGAACGGAAAGGCCCUGCUUUUGUGGGGUGCUCGAGUGGCGAACGGGUGAGUAACACGUGAGUAACCUGCCCUUGACUUUGGGAUAACUUCAGGAAACUGGGGCUAAUACCGGAUAGGAGCUCCUGCUGCAUGGUGGGGGUUGGAAAGUUUCGGCGGGUGGGGAUGGACUCGCGGCUGAUCAGCUUGUUGGUGGGGGAGUGGCUUACCAAGGCUUUGACGGGUAGCCGGCCUGAGAGGGUGACCGGCUACAUUGGGACUGCGAGACGGACCAGACUCCGACGGGAGGCAGCAGUGGGGAAUAUUGCGCAAUGGGCGGAAGCCUGAUGCAGCAACGCUGCGUGCGGGAUGACGGCCUUCGGGUUGUAAACCGCUUUGGCCUGUGACGAAGCGUGAGUGACGGUAAUGGGUAAAGAAGCACCAGCUAACUACGUG
Molecule: ribosomal RNA, 468 nt
Filed under: uncultured bacterium
Lineage: Bacteria
Description: partial 16S ribosomal RNA
Rfam family: Bacterial small subunit ribosomal RNA
Source: RNAcentral